CAACGCCGAGCUAGAGAAAAAAGGGCUUGGAACUCCUGCAUUGAGGUUCGGCUGCCUUUGUCAAUGUCAACGAUGGGAGGCAUCAAGGGUGGCGUAGGCAGCUUCCUCCUCCGUCGUACAGCCGCGAAGAGCAUCCGCCAGAAGCACUUCACCGGCCCGCAGUUCUACAAGCGCAAGACCUUCAACUUCCCAAUCGGUCACCAUCAGCUUCACCGCCGCGUUGCCCCGGCUCUGCAGACUGGGUCACCGACACAUCAGCGGGAGCAUCAGCGCUACGCCCACCUUCCGGGAGAUGCCCGCACACGGCCGAGCGAGGACUUCACCUUCUCCCGCUCGCCCUCGCCUCGCGACAGCGGACGGAGUCGGCAACGGGUAGACAAGGCCAUGUACGCCUGGGCGAAGCGUGGCUCACUGCAGCUCUACCAGAUGGGUGGCAAGCGCGAGACCUUUGUGUGCUACAGGUGCGGCUACCCUGUGCGGAGCGCUCUCGUCGCCAUCAAGGACGAUAACUGGGAUUACCGCAUGUGUUACAACUGCUACACAAAGACCGUGGACACCGGAAUGGAGAGAAACACGUAGGAGGGCUGACGCUUCUGGUGCGAGUCUGUGUGGUGGCUUUGUGCGCCGAGUGCCCCCACUCUCUUCCUCCGACUGUCUCAUCACAUACUCUAACCGACACGCUUCUGGAUUACGUCUGAAAAGGCCUGCAGGACUUGCAUGGAAAGCAGCAUUCGCGGGUGCGCCGAACGUUCGCCUGUGCGCGAAUGCCAAUACCCUGCAUGGCCUCUUGCGCACCUCCGUCCUGGUGCCCACGUACAGCUUCUUCCUCAUCGACGACGGAGAGAGCGGGCGAGCGAGCCGGAGGAAAGUCGACAACGCAUCUGCCGCGGUGACGGCUGCACAGUCGCUGGGAGGGUGUAUGGCGGCAUCAAAGUCGCCGAUCGCCCCUCACUGUUGGUGUUGGCCCUCUCGGCGGGCGGCCGCUUUUUCUCUUGCCGACGGUCUCGUGAUGAUCUUCAGUGACCAGCCUUUCACUUAUUCUUGUUUGUCCUCCUCUCGCCUCCCUCGUGAGUCGGUCAUCACGCACACGCACACGCACACGCAACGGUUUGCGAAG
Molecule: unclassified non-coding RNA, 1117 nt
Filed under: Leishmania donovani
Lineage: Eukaryota; Euglenozoa; Kinetoplastea; Trypanosomatida; Trypanosomatidae
Description: gene:LdHU3.19.1510(CDS-product:hypothetical_prote in_conserved)
Source: RNAcentral